UCAUGUCGAUAGCACAAUCAUCUGAUCAUGCCAAACAAAUAACGGGGAAGGUGAUUAUGACAGCAAUGCAAAAAGCUACUAAAGUGAUAGUGACCAGGCUUGUUCUGGAUUCCUAUUUAAUAAGGUAUUUUAAUAAGUGAAAGACCUGCUUCACUCAGUGUUUUUCAGCAGUGAACAGUUGAAGACACUGCACUUCUCAAACCUUUAUCUGUUUCAUGAAUGAACAGUGUGAAACAUGAACUGGCUGAGAUAAUUUUUAUAUUUGGAAAAGUCAUAGAUCCAGUGACAGGAAAACUCUGUAAGAAUUACCAACCUGGAGAGUUCAGUCAGUUUGGGAACUAUCCAGCUAAACAAAAAUCUAGAAGCACUCAAAAUCUUUUCAACA
This 385-nucleotide long non-coding RNA is filed under the name Homo sapiens (human). Its description in RNAcentral is "non-protein coding lnc-ROBO2-9:1". Lineage: Eukaryota; Metazoa; Chordata; Mammalia; Primates; Hominidae. The record is from RNAcentral.